RNAcentral lists this ribosomal RNA (658 nucleotides) under uncultured fungus. Its description in RNAcentral is "SSU rRNA". It matches the Rfam family "Eukaryotic small subunit ribosomal RNA", at positions 249 to 914 of the family's 1831-position model. The record is from RNAcentral. Lineage: Eukaryota; Fungi.
AUUCAUAAUAACUUAACGGAAUCGCAUGGCCUUGUUCGCGGCGAUGGUUCAUUCAAAUUUCUGCCCUAUCAACUUUCAAUCGUAGAGUCUUGGUCUACGAUGGUUUCAACGGGUAACGGGGAAUUAGGGUUCUAUUCCGGAGAGGGAGCCUGAGAAACGGUACCACAUCCAAGGAAGGCAGCAGGCGCGCAAAUUACCCAAUCCCGACACGGGGAGGUAGUGACAAUAAAUACUGAUACAGGGCUCUUUUGGGUCUUGUAAUUGGAAUGAGUACAAUUUAAAUCCCUUAACGAGGAACAAUUGGAGGGCAAGUCUGGUGCCAGCAGCCGCGGUAAUUCCAGCUCCAAUAGCGUAUAUUAAAGUUGUUGCAGUUAAAAAGCUCGUAGUUGAACCUUGGGCCUGGUUGGUCGGUCCGCCUCACCGGUGGCACUGAUCCGACCGGGCCUUUCCUUCUGGGGAGCCGAUGCCUUCACUGGGUGUGUCGGGGAACCAGGACUUUACUUUGAAAAAAUUAGAGUGUCCAAAGCAGGCCUAUGCUCGAAUACAUUAGCAUGGAAUAAUAGAAUAGGACGUGUGGUUCUAAUAAGAAGGUUCUAGGACCGGCGUAAUGAUUAAUAGGGAUAGUCGGGGGGCAUCAGUAUUCAAUUGUCAGGGGUUG